RNAcentral lists this ribosomal RNA (251 nucleotides) under uncultured archaeon. Its description in RNAcentral is "partial 16S ribosomal RNA". It matches the Rfam family "Archaeal small subunit ribosomal RNA", at positions 748 to 998 of the family's 1478-position model. The record is from RNAcentral.
UAGCCGUAAACGAUACUCGCUAGGUGUCGGCCACGGUGCGACCGUUGUCGGUGCCGUAGGGAAGCCGUGAAGCGAGCCACCUGGGAAGUACGGCCGCAAGGCUGAAACUUAAAGGAAUUGGCGGGGGAGCACCACAACGGGUGGAGCUUGCGGUUUAAUUGGAUUCAACGCCGGAAAUCUUACCGGGACCGACAGCAACAUGAAGGCCAGGCUGAAGACUUUGCCGGAUUAGCUGAGAGGAGGUGCAUGGC